RNAcentral lists this ribosomal RNA (443 nucleotides) under uncultured bacterium. RNAcentral describes it as "partial 16S ribosomal RNA". It matches the Rfam family "Bacterial small subunit ribosomal RNA", at positions 338 to 795 of the family's 1533-position model. The record is from RNAcentral.
CCUACGGUGGACUGCAGUGGGGCAUAUUGGGCAAUGGGCGCAAGCCUGACCCAGCGACGCCGCGUGAAUGAAGAAGGCUUUCGGGUUGUAAACUUCUUUUCUGCGGGACGAAGAAAGUGACGGUACCUCAGGAAUAAGCCACGGCUAACUACGUGCCAGCAGCCGCGGUAAUACGUAGGUGGCAAGCGUUAUCCGGAUUUAUUGGGUGUAAAGGGCGUGUAGGCGGGAAAGCAAGUCAGAUGUGAAAACUCAGGGAUCAACCCCGGGCCUGCAUUUGAAACUGUUUUUCUUGAGUGCUGGAGAGGCAAUCGGAAUUCCGUGUGUAGCGGUGAAAUGCGUAGAUAUAAGGAGGAACACCAGUGGCGAAGGCGGAUUGCUGGACAGUAACUGACGCUGAGGCGCGAAAGCGUGGGGAGCAAACAGGAUUAGAUACCCGGGUAGUC